UACAGAGGUCCCGAGCGUUGUUCGGAUUCAUUGGGCGUAAAGGGUGCGUAGGUGGCGCUGUAAGUCGGGUGUGAAAUUUCGGAGCUUAACUCCGAAACUGCAUUCGAUACUGCGGUGCUUGAGGACUGGAGAGGAGACUGGAAUUCAUGGUGUAGCAGUGAAAUGCGUAGAUAUCGUAAGGAAGACCAGUGGCGAAGGCGGGUCUCUGGACAGUUCCUGACGCUGAGGCACGAAGGUCAGGGGAGCAAACGGG
Molecule: ribosomal RNA, 253 nt
Filed under: uncultured prokaryote
Description: partial 16S ribosomal RNA
Rfam family: Bacterial small subunit ribosomal RNA
Source: RNAcentral